AACGAACGCUGGCGGCAUGCCUAACACAUGCAAGUCGAACGAGACCUUCGGGUCUAGUGGCGCACGGGUGCGUAACGCGUGGGAACCUGCCUUUAGGUUCGGAAUAACUCAGAGAAAUUUGAGCUAAUACCGGAUGAUGUCUUCGGACCAAAGAUUUAUCGCCUUUAGAUGGGCCCGCGUUGGAUUAGCUAGUUGGUGGGGUAAAGGCCUACCAAGGCGACGAUCCAUAGCUGGUCUGAGAGGAUGAUCAGCCACACUGGGACUGAGACACGGCCCAGACUCCUACGGGAGGCAGCAGUGGGCAAUAUUGGACAAUGGGCGAAAGCCUGAUCCAGCAAUGCCGCGUGAGUGAUGAAGGCCUUAGGGUUGUAAAGCUCUUUUACCCGAGAUGAUAAUGACAGUAUCGGGAGAAUAAGCUCCGGCUAACUCCGUG
This 433-nucleotide ribosomal RNA is filed under the name uncultured bacterium. Its description in RNAcentral is "partial 16S ribosomal RNA". It matches the Rfam family "Bacterial small subunit ribosomal RNA", at positions 29 to 507 of the family's 1533-position model. The record is from RNAcentral.